AUUGAUUCAUAUCUCAGAUAGCCUUUCCCAAUAAAAACAAAAAUAUAAAAGUAAUGAGGCUUGUUGCCAUACUAAAACCACAACGAGGAAACAAUAACUGAAGGAAGCUGAUGGCUUAUAUACAGUAUUUAGUUAGGUGGUUAAAAAUCUUUUUAUUUUCUCUCAUCACAUUUGAGGAUAUUCAUGUCAGCUGGAAAAUCACAUAGCAUUUAGUCAUGUUGU
This 222-nucleotide unclassified non-coding RNA is filed under the name Hevea brasiliensis (rubber tree). Lineage: Eukaryota; Viridiplantae; Streptophyta; Magnoliopsida; Malpighiales; Euphorbiaceae. The record is from RNAcentral.